ACAGUGGUGGUUCAGUGGUAGAAUUUUCACCUCCCAUGCAAGAGACCUGGGUUCAAUCCCCAGCCAAUGUA
This 71-nucleotide transfer RNA is filed under the name Loxodonta africana (African savanna elephant). It matches the Rfam family "tRNA". From Rfam's summary of the family: Transfer RNA (tRNA) molecules are approximately 80 nucleotides in length. Lineage: Eukaryota; Metazoa; Chordata; Mammalia; Proboscidea; Elephantidae. The record is from Rfam by way of RNAcentral.